Molecule: ribosomal RNA, 255 nt
Filed under: Escherichia coli
Lineage: Bacteria; Pseudomonadati; Pseudomonadota; Gammaproteobacteria; Enterobacterales; Enterobacteriaceae
Description: partial 23S ribosomal RNA
Rfam family: Bacterial large subunit ribosomal RNA
Source: RNAcentral
GACAGCCAGGAUGUUGGCUUAGAAGCAGCCAUCAUUUAAAGAAAGCGUAAUAGCUCACUGGUCGAGUCGGCCUGCGCGGAAGAUGUAACGGGGCUAAACCAUGCACCGAAGCUGCGGCAGCGACGCUGAUGCGUUGUUGGGUAGGGGAGCGUUCUGUAAGCCUACGAAGGUGUGCUGUGAGGCAUGCUGGAGGUAUCAGAAGUGCGAAUGCUGACAUAAGUAACGAUAAAGCGGGUGAAAAGCCCGCUCGCCGGA